This 60-nucleotide ribosomal RNA is filed under the name Enterobacter cloacae. RNAcentral describes it as "partial 16S ribosomal RNA". Lineage: Bacteria; Pseudomonadati; Pseudomonadota; Gammaproteobacteria; Enterobacterales; Enterobacteriaceae. The record is from RNAcentral. RNAcentral also lists the same sequence under 64 other names.
UUAAAUUGAAGAGUUUGAUCAUGGCUCAGAUUGAACGCUGGCGGCAGGCCUAACACAUGC